CCUACGGGGGGCUGCAGUGGGGAAUUUUUCGCAAUGGGCGCAAGCCUGACGAAGCAACGCCGCGUGGGGGAUGAAGGUCUUCGGAUUGUAAACCCCUGUCGACCGGGACGAAGGUACCCGACCUAACACGUCGGAGUAUUGACUGUACCGGUGGAGGAAGCCACGGCUAACUCUGUGCCAGCAGCCGCGGUAAUACAGAGGUGGCAAGCGUUGUUCGGAGUGAGCGGGCGUAACCGGCGCGUAGGCGGGCGAAAUCCCCCGGCUCAACCGGGGAACUGCGCGGGAAACUGUCGAGCUUGAGUUCGGGAGAGGGAAGCGGAAUUCCGGGUGUAGCGGUGAAAUGCGCAGAUAUCCGGAGGAACACCGGUGGCGAAGGCGGCUUCCUGGACCGACACUGACGCUGAGGCGCGAAAGCUAGGGGAGCAAACGGGAUUAGAUACCCCUGUAGUC
This 450-nucleotide ribosomal RNA is filed under the name uncultured bacterium. RNAcentral describes it as "partial 16S ribosomal RNA". It matches the Rfam family "Bacterial small subunit ribosomal RNA", at positions 338 to 795 of the family's 1533-position model. The record is from RNAcentral.